This 450-nucleotide ribosomal RNA is filed under the name uncultured bacterium. RNAcentral describes it as "bacterial SSU rRNA". It matches the Rfam family "Bacterial small subunit ribosomal RNA", at positions 354 to 796 of the family's 1533-position model. The record is from RNAcentral.
GUAGGGAAUUUUCGUCAAUGGGCGCAAGCCUGAACGAGCGAUGCCGCGUGAGUGAAGAAGGCCUUCGGGUCGUAAAGCUCUGUUGCGGGGGAAAAAAGGCAGCAUCAGGAAAUGGGUGCUGACUGAUGGUGCCCCGCCAGAAAGUCACGGCUAACUACGUGCCAGCAGCCGCGGUAAUACGUAGGUGGCGAGCGUUAUCCGGAAUGAUUGGGCGUAAAGGGUGCGCAGGCGGUCCUGCAAGUCUGGAGUGAAACGCAUGAGCUCAACUCAUGCAUGGCUUUGGAAACUGGAGGACUGGAGAGCAGGAGAGGGCGGUGGAACUCCAUGUGUAGCGGUAAAAUGCGUAGAUAUAUGGAAGAACACCAGUGGCGAAGGCGGCCGCCUGGCCUGUUGCUGACGCUGAGGCACGAAAGCGUGGGGAGCAAAUAGGAUUAGAAACCCUUGUAGUCC